Molecule: long non-coding RNA, 527 nt
Organism: Mauremys reevesii (Reeves's turtle)
Lineage: Eukaryota; Metazoa; Chordata; Testudines; Geoemydidae
Exons: 3
Source: RefSeq, a predicted model, not a curated record
CUGCUAAGUCUCAGAGUGAUUCACAAACUGGGGAAGAUAGACGUUUGGCUGUCUAGUCAUGUGCAGGGCUUAAUCCAAUAGGUGUGCUCAACUGGAUCAGCCCCCUCAGGCAAUGUCACACAAAACAGCUGGAGGGGUCAGGGAGGAAGAGAAAGACCUCCCUUACCACUUUUAGCCUAGUGGUUAGGGUAUUCGCUCAUGAUCUGGGAGACACCCGCUGACCCCCCAAUACAGGUCCCCUCUCCACCUGAUGAAGAGAAGGAAUUUGAACAGGGAUCUACCACCUCUCAAAUGUCCUGUCCUGUACUAUGAGGCUCCAGUUCUGCUGUCAUUGAAGUGAACGGCAAAAUUCCUCCUGGAUUACUUGCAGGAUCAGACUCACAGGGUGUAAAAUUAAACAUGCAUAGGCCUCCCGAAGACGUUUUGCCACACCAGGCUACUUUCAGCCCCUGGAUGCUAUUUUCUCUCUCCUUAUGUCCUGGUAUUUGCGUUGGUAAAAGCAUAUAUUCUAACCCUGUUGUUAAGAU